AUGGACUUUGCUCCUCCGCCACCGUGGCAUUAUAAUUUAGACCCACCGUCGUAUGAAUUCCCGCCGAUACGUCCCUGGUAUCCGCCUCCGCCUCCGCCUCCGCCAUCUUCAGAUGAUGAAUGGAAAGUCGCAGUAUUGCUCGUCGUCUUUUUUGCAGUCUGCAUUCUCGGAGUCGCUUUAAAGGGUUGCCGCGGCACGCAAUCUCACGCAGAGGCAGAGGCAGCCGCUGCCGCGGCUGGAAUCCCUCCGGCAACACGAUGA
RNAcentral lists this ribosomal RNA (261 nucleotides) under Triticum aestivum (bread wheat). RNAcentral describes it as "partial small subunit ribosomal RNA". The record is from RNAcentral. Lineage: Eukaryota; Viridiplantae; Streptophyta; Magnoliopsida; Poales; Poaceae.